CGUUGCCAGAAACCAUUCAUCAGACUCUGUAGAAAAGGCUGUCAGCUCGGCCUACAGGCCUCAAGCCAGCCUGUCAGGAUCUAGGCUAACAGCCAGAGUGUCAGGGGCUGCGGCUGGUAGCCAACCAGAACUUUGAUGUCUAAGGGUUGGCCAGCUGGUAUGGGAGCCUGGCCGAUGGGUUCUCUGAAGCCAUAUGCUCCGCUCGGAGGUCAUGAGUUCUGAGAGCGAGCUGGCCGUUAAGAGGAUCUCCAAUAAAGACGGAGAUGGAGAAACCAAAGCUUGGAUGGUGGGGAUCCUGCUUCAAGGUCCC
RNAcentral lists this long non-coding RNA (310 nucleotides) under Mustela putorius furo (domestic ferret). RNAcentral's name for it is "lncRNA (ENSMPUG00000031701.1)". Lineage: Eukaryota; Metazoa; Chordata; Mammalia; Carnivora; Mustelidae. The record is from RNAcentral.